GACGAACGCUGGCGGCGUGCCUAAUACAUGCAAGUAGAACGCUGAAGGAGGAGCUUGCUUCUCUGGAUGAGUUGCGAACGGGUGAGUAACGCGUAGGUAACCUGCCUGGUAGCGGGGGAUAACUAUUGGAAACGAUAGCUAAUACCGCAUAAUAGUAGAUGUUGCAUGACAUUUGCUUAAAAGGUGCAAUUGCAUCACUACCAGAUGGACCUGCGUUGUAUUAGCUAGUUGGUGGGGUAACGGCUCACCAAGGCGACGAUACAUAGCCGACCGGAGAGGGUGAUCGGCCACACUGGGACUGAGACACGGCCUAGACUCCUACGGGAGGCAGCAGUAGGGAAUCUUCGGCAAUGGACGGAAGUCUGACCGAGCAACGCCGCGGGAGUGAAGAAGGGUUUCGGAUCGUAAAGCUCUGUUGUAAGAGAAGAACGAGUGUGAGAGUGGAAAGUUCACACUGUGACGGUAUCUUACCAGAAAGGGACGGCUAACUACGUG
RNAcentral lists this ribosomal RNA (495 nucleotides) under uncultured bacterium. Its description in RNAcentral is "partial 16S ribosomal RNA". It matches the Rfam family "Bacterial small subunit ribosomal RNA", at positions 28 to 507 of the family's 1533-position model. The record is from RNAcentral.